This 511-nucleotide ribosomal RNA is filed under the name uncultured bacterium. RNAcentral's name for it is "bacterial SSU rRNA". It matches the Rfam family "Bacterial small subunit ribosomal RNA", at positions 32 to 518 of the family's 1533-position model. The record is from RNAcentral.
AAUCAACGCUGGCGGCGUGCCUAACACAUGCAAGUCGAACGCGAAAGCCCCUUCGGGGGCGAAGUAGAGUGGCGUCCGGGUGAGUAACACGUGGGUAAUCUACCUCCGGGUGGGGAAUAACUCGCCGAAAGGCGGGCUAAUACCGCAUAAUGCAGCGGCACCGAAUGGUGAUUAGUUGUUAAAGCGGGGGACCUUAGGGCCUCGCGUCUGGAGAGGAGCCUGCGGCAGAUUAGCUUGUUGGUAGGGAAUGGCCUACCAAGGCUGCGAUCUGUAGCUGGUCUGAGAGGACGGCCAGCCACACUGGCACUGACACACGGGCCAGACUCCUACGGGAGGCAGCAGUGGGGAAUUUUGGGCAAUGGGCGAAAGCCUGACCCAGCAACGCCGCGUGAAGGAGGAAAUCCUUCGGGAUGUAAACUUCACAAGCAAGGGAAGAGCGCGCAGGGUCGAAUAAACUCUGCGUCCGACGGUACCUUGCGUAAGCCACGGCUAACUACGUGCCAGCAGCCGC